AGGGCUUGACAUACACUGGAAUGGGCGUGAAAGCGUCCACGCCCCUCGGGGCCGGUGUACAGGUGCUGCAUGGCUGUCGUCAGCUCGUGCUGUGAAGUGUUGGGUUAAGUCCCGCAACGAGCGCAACCCCUGCUAUCUGUUGCCAGCAAGUAAUGGUUGGGGACUCAGAUGGAACUGCCGGUGACAAACCGGAGGAAGGUGGGGACGACGGUCAAGUCAUCAUGGCCCUUAUGUCCUGGGCUACACACGUGCUACAAUGGCCGGUACAGAGCGCAGCGAAGGCCGCGAGGCAAAGCGAACUCGACAAAAAGCCCGGUCUCAGUACGGAUUGGAGUCUGAAACUCGACUCCAUGAAGUUGGAAUCGCUAGUAAUCGCGCAUCAGCAUGGCGCGGUGAAUACGUUCCCGGGCCUU
This 413-nucleotide ribosomal RNA is filed under the name uncultured Spirochaeta sp. Its description in RNAcentral is "bacterial SSU rRNA". It matches the Rfam family "Bacterial small subunit ribosomal RNA", at positions 976 to 1382 of the family's 1533-position model. Lineage: Bacteria; Pseudomonadati; Spirochaetota; Spirochaetia; Spirochaetales; Spirochaetaceae. The record is from RNAcentral.